Molecule: unclassified non-coding RNA, 196 nt
Filed under: soil metagenome
Description: partial internal transcribed spacer 1
Source: RNAcentral
CCGAGUUUACAACUCCCAAACCCAUGUGAACAUUACCAAACUGUUGCCUCGGCGGAUCAGCCCUGCUCCCGGUGCUUCUAAGCCCCGGGACCAGGCGCCCGCCCGGAGGACCACCAAACUCUUAUUGUAUACCCCUCUCGGUUUUUACUAUCUGAGCCAUCUCGGCGCCCUCGUGGCGUUUCGAAAAAUGAAAUCA